GACGAACGCUGGCGGCGUGCUUAACACAUGCAAGUCGAACGGAAAGGCCCUGCUUUUGUGGGGUGCUCGAGUGGCGAACGGGUGAGUAACACGUGAGUAACCUGCCCUUGACUUUGGGAUAACUUCAGGAAACUGGGGCUAAUACCGGAUAGGAGCUCCUGCUGCAUGAUGGGGGUUGGAAAGUUUCGGCGGUUGGGGAUGGACUCGCGGCUUAUCAGCUUGUUGGUGGGGUAGUGGCUUACCAAGGCUUUGACGGGUAGCCGGCCUGAGAGGGUGACCGGCCACAUUGGGACUGAGAUACGGCCCAGACUCCUACGGGAGGCAGCAGUGGGGAAUAUUGCACAAUGGGCGGAAGCCUGAUGCAGCAACGCCGCGUGCGGGAUGACGGCCUUCGGGUUGUGAACCGCUUUCGCCUGUGACGAAGCGUGAGUGACGGUAAUGGGUAAAGAAGCACCGGCUAACUACGUG
Molecule: ribosomal RNA, 468 nt
Filed under: uncultured bacterium
Lineage: Bacteria
Description: partial 16S ribosomal RNA
Rfam family: Bacterial small subunit ribosomal RNA
Source: RNAcentral